AAUAAAGUGGCUGAGAGACAGGCGAUAGAUUGUAAAUCUAUAAACGAAUUUAUAAUUCCUUUAUUA
Molecule: transfer RNA, 66 nt
Filed under: Parasesarma affine
Lineage: Eukaryota; Metazoa; Arthropoda; Malacostraca; Decapoda; Sesarmidae
Description: tRNA-Tyr
Rfam family: tRNA
About the family: Transfer RNA (tRNA) molecules are approximately 80 nucleotides in length. Their secondary structure includes four short double-helical elements and three loops (D, anti-codon, and T loops).
Source: RNAcentral